GAUGAACGCUGGCGGCGUGCCUAAUACAUGCAAGUCGAGCGAACAGACGAUGAGCUUGCUCCUCUGACGUUAGCGGCGGACGGGUGAGUAACACGUGGAUAACCUACCUAUAAGACUGGGAUAACUUCGGGAAACCGGAGCUAAUACCGGAUAAUAUAUUGAACCGCAUGGUUCAAUAGUGAAAGACGGUUUUGCUGUCACUUAUAGAUGGAUCCGCGCCGCAUUAGCUAGUUGGUAAGGUAACGGCUUACCAAGGCAACGAUGCGUAGCCGACCUGAGAGGGGGAUCGGCCACACUGGAACUGAGACACGGUCCAGACUCCUACGGGAGGCAGCAGUAGGGAAUCUUACGCAAUGGGCGAAAGCCUGACGGAGCAACGCCGCGUGAGUGAUGAAGGUCUUCGGAUCGUAAAACUCUGUUAUUAGGGAAGAACAAAUGUGUAAGUAACUAUGCACGUCUUGACGGUACCUAAUCAGAAAGCCACGGCUAACUACGUG
This 497-nucleotide ribosomal RNA is filed under the name uncultured bacterium. RNAcentral's name for it is "partial 16S ribosomal RNA". It matches the Rfam family "Bacterial small subunit ribosomal RNA", at positions 28 to 507 of the family's 1533-position model. The record is from RNAcentral.